CGGGGUGUGGCGCAGCCUGGUAGCGCGCUUGUUUUGGGUACAAGAGGCCCCGGGUUCGAAUCCCGGCACCCCGA
This 74-nucleotide transfer RNA is filed under the name Anaerolineae bacterium. Its description in RNAcentral is "tRNA-Pro". It matches the Rfam family "tRNA". From Rfam's summary of the family: Transfer RNA (tRNA) molecules are approximately 80 nucleotides in length. Their secondary structure includes four short double-helical elements and three loops (D, anti-codon, and T loops). Further hydrogen bonds mediate the characteristic L-shaped molecular structure. tRNAs have two regions of fundamental functional importance: the anti-codon, which is responsible for specific mRNA codon recognition, and the 3' end, to which the tRNAs corresponding amino acid is attached (by aminoacyl-tRNA synthetases). tRNAs cope with the degeneracy of the genetic code in two manners: having more than one tRNA (with a specific anti-codon) for a particular amino acid; and 'wobble' base-pairing, i.e. permitting non-standard base-pairing at the 3rd anti-codon position. Lineage: Bacteria; Bacillati; Chloroflexota; Anaerolineae. The record is from RNAcentral.